UAUUAACUAGAUGGUGGGGUAACGGCUCACCAGGGCAAUGAUACGUACCCGACCUGAAAGGGAACUCGGCCACAUUGGGACUGACACCCGGCCCAAACUCCAAGGGGAGGCACCAGUAGGGAAUCUUCCACAAGGGACAAAAGUCUGAUGGAGCAACCCCGCGUGAGUGAAAAAGGGUUUCGGCUCGUAAAACUCUGUUGUUAAAAAAAAACAUAUCUGAAAUUACCUGUUCAGGUAUUGACGGUAUUUAACCAAA
RNAcentral lists this ribosomal RNA (256 nucleotides) under Lactobacillaceae bacterium. RNAcentral's name for it is "partial 16S ribosomal RNA". It matches the Rfam family "Bacterial small subunit ribosomal RNA", at positions 239 to 487 of the family's 1533-position model. The record is from RNAcentral. Lineage: Bacteria; Bacillati; Bacillota; Bacilli; Lactobacillales; Lactobacillaceae.